RNAcentral lists this ribosomal RNA (427 nucleotides) under uncultured bacterium. Its description in RNAcentral is "partial 16S ribosomal RNA". It matches the Rfam family "Bacterial small subunit ribosomal RNA", at positions 355 to 774 of the family's 1533-position model. The record is from RNAcentral.
UGGGGAAUAUUGGACAAUGGGCGAAAGCCUGAUCCAGCCAUGCUGCGUGUGUGAAGAAGGUCUUCGGAUUGUAAAGCACUUUAAGUUGGGAGGAAGGGCAUUAACCUAAUACGUUAGUGUUUUGACGUUACCGACAGAAUAAGCACCGGCUAACUCUGUGCCAGCAGCCGCGGUAAUACAGAGGGUGCAAGCGUUAAUCGGAAUUACUGGGCGUAAAGCGCGCUUAGGUGGUUUGUUAAGUUGGAUGUGAAAUCCCCUGUCUCAACCUGGGAACUGCAUUCAAAACUGACUGACUAGAGUAUGGUAGAGGGUGGUGGAAUUUCCUGUGUAGCGGUGAAAUGCGUAGAUAUAGGAAGGAACACCAGUGGCGAAGGCGACCACCUGGACUAAUACUGACACUGAGGUGCGAAAGCGUGGGGAGCAAACA